GUGGUCAUACCUGCGAUAAAUUCAAACAAAAACUUAAAAAGAACGAAAUACAAAAGCCCGCCAAAAAUAAACGUCAAAAAAUUCAAGAUGGCCGCCGGCGCCGCAUCGACCUCGGUUAGCCAGGAAGUGCAUGUAAUACCAAUGAACUUUUCAAUGUUACCCACUUCUCUUGUUGCUCCUGGUUGCUUGAAAUAUGUACUUUUUGAAUAAAUAUAAUUGUUGGCCUUUAAGA
Molecule: unclassified non-coding RNA, 232 nt
Filed under: Melitaea cinxia (Glanville fritillary)
Lineage: Eukaryota; Metazoa; Arthropoda; Insecta; Lepidoptera; Nymphalidae
Description: misc RNA ENSMCXG00005001472.1
Source: RNAcentral